This 738-nucleotide ribosomal RNA is filed under the name uncultured Tomentella. Its description in RNAcentral is "eukaryotic LSU rRNA". The stretch from base 179 to 333 matches the Rfam family "5.8S ribosomal RNA". Lineage: Eukaryota; Fungi; Basidiomycota; Agaricomycetes; Thelephorales; Thelephoraceae. The record is from RNAcentral.
GUUGCUGGCCCCCAACCGGGCACGUGCACGCCCUGUUUACGCAUCCACUCACACCUGUGCACCCUCUGUAGUUCUGUGGACCGGGAGACGUCGUCUUCCUUCCGUGGCUCUACGUCUUUACACACACGCCGUAGCGAAGUCUCAUGGAAUGUUUUUCGCGUUUAACGCAAUACAAUACAACUUUCAGCAACGGAUCUCUUGGCUCUCGCAUCGAUGAAGAACGCAGCGAAAUGCGAUAAGUAAUGUGAAUUGCAGAAUUCAGUGAAUCAUCGAAUCUUUGAACGCACCUUGCGCCCCUUGGUYAUUCCUCGGGGCAUGCCUGUUUGAGUAUCAUGAACACCUCAACUCUCGUGGUCUUCCAUGAUGAGCUUGGACUUUGGGGGUUUGCUGGCCCUGUGGCCGGCUCCUCUCAAACGAAUCAGCUUGCCAGUGUUUGGCGGCGUCACGGGUGUGAUAACCAUCUACGCUUGCGAUCGCCUGCCAGAUAACCCUCAGCGAUGAAGGUUCAUUGGGGCUCACAAAAGUCUCUCCACGGCGAGGACGAAUUUUGAAUGUUCGAUCUCAAAUCAGGUAGGACUACCCCGCUGAACUUAAGCAUAUCAAUAAGCGGAGGAAAAAGAAACUAACAAGGAUUCCCCUAGUAACUGCGAGUGAAGCGGGAAGAGCUCAAAUUUAAAAUCUGGCGUGCCUCCGGUCGUCCGAAUUGUAGUCUGGARAAGCGUUUUCCGUGCUGGACCG